CACGUAGGGGGCGAGCGUUGUCCGGUUUUAUUGGGCGUAAAGAGCUCGUAGGCGGCUUGGUAAGUCGGGUGUGAAAACUCCGAGCUCAACUCGGAGACGCCAUCCGAUACUGCCAUGGCUAGAGUCCGGUAGGGGAGCGCAGAAUUCCUGGUGUAGCGGUGAAAUGCACAGAUAUCAGGAGGAAUACCGAUGGCGAAGGCAGCGCUCUGGGCCGGUACUGACGCUGAGGAGCGAAAGCGUGGGUAGCGAACAGG
RNAcentral lists this ribosomal RNA (254 nucleotides) under uncultured bacterium. RNAcentral describes it as "partial 16S ribosomal RNA". It matches the Rfam family "Bacterial small subunit ribosomal RNA", at positions 524 to 776 of the family's 1533-position model. The record is from RNAcentral.